This 76-nucleotide transfer RNA is filed under the name Pseudomonadota bacterium. Its description in RNAcentral is "tRNA-Gly". It matches the Rfam family "tRNA". From Rfam's summary of the family: Transfer RNA (tRNA) molecules are approximately 80 nucleotides in length. Their secondary structure includes four short double-helical elements and three loops (D, anti-codon, and T loops). Further hydrogen bonds mediate the characteristic L-shaped molecular structure. tRNAs have two regions of fundamental functional importance: the anti-codon, which is responsible for specific mRNA codon recognition, and the 3' end, to which the tRNAs corresponding amino acid is attached (by aminoacyl-tRNA synthetases). tRNAs cope with the degeneracy of the genetic code in two manners: having more than one tRNA (with a specific anti-codon) for a particular amino acid; and 'wobble' base-pairing, i.e. permitting non-standard base-pairing at the 3rd anti-codon position. RNAcentral also lists the same sequence under 1 other name. The record is from RNAcentral. Lineage: Bacteria; Pseudomonadati; Pseudomonadota.
GCGGAAGUAGCUCAAUUGGUAGAGCUUUAGCCUUCCAAGCUAAAGGUUGCGGGUUCGAGCCCCGUCUUCCGCUCCA